UUCGGAAUUAUUGGGCGUAAAGGGCGCGUAGGCGGUGCGGUAAGUCAUUUGUGAAAUCUCCUGGCUCAACUGGGAGCUUGCAGGCGAAACUGCCGUGCUGGAGUGUGGGAGAGGUGCGUGGAAUUCCUGGUGUAGCGGUGAAAUGCGUAGAUAUCAGGAGGAACACCUGUGGCGAAAGCGGCGCACUGGACCACAACUGACGCUGAGGCGCGAAAGCUAGGGGAGCAAACAGG
Molecule: ribosomal RNA, 233 nt
Filed under: uncultured bacterium
Lineage: Bacteria
Description: partial 16S ribosomal RNA
Rfam family: Bacterial small subunit ribosomal RNA
Source: RNAcentral